AAGUCGUAACAAGGUCUCCGUUGGUGAACCAGCGGAGGGAUCAUUACCGAGUUUCAAACUCAUAACCCAUUGUGAGUAUACCAAAGUUGCUUCGGCCUCUGUUUCGGCAGUGGCCGAGGGCCCCAAACCUCUAUUUUAAUCAUGUGUUUCUUCUGAGUAACCAAAAAAAUAAAUCAAAACCUUCAACAACGGAUCUCUUGGCUCUGGCAUCGAUGAAGAACGCAGCGAAAUGCGAAAAGUAAUGUGAAUUGCAGAAUUCAGUGAACCAUCGAAUCUUUGAACGCACAUUGCGCCCGCUGGAACUCCGGCGGGCACGCCUGUCCGAGCGUCAUUUCAACCCUCAGGCCCCCCUUCGCGGGCGGGACUGGUGUUGGGGCUCGGCCGCUAUCCUGCGGCCGUCCCCUAAAUUCAGUGGCGGCCUCGCCGUGAUCCCUUGCGUAGUAAUACACCUCGCACUGGAAAGCGCCGUGGCCACGCCGUAAAACCCCCAAUUUUCAAUUGUUGACCUCGGAUCAGGUGGGAAUACCCGCUGAACUUAAGCAUAUCAAUAAGCGGAGGAAAAGAAACCAACAGGGAUUGCCUCAGUAACGGCGAGUGAAGCGGCAACAGCUCAAAUUUGAAAUCUGGUCCUCGGGCCCGAGUUGUAAUUUGCAGAGGAUGCUUUUGGCGACGUGCCUACCGAGUUCCCUGGAACGGGACGCCAUAGAGGGUGAGAGCCCCGUACGGUAGUGUCACCGAGCCUCUGUAAAGCUCCUUCGACGAGUCGAGUAGUUUGGGAAUGCUGCUCUAAAUGGGAGGUGUAUGUCUUCUAAAGCUAAAUACCGGCCAGAGACCGAUAGCGCACAAGUAGAGUGAUCGAAAGAUGAAAAGUACUCUGAAGAGAGAGUUAAACAGCACGUGAAAUUGUUGAAGGGGAAGCGUUUAUGACCAGACUUGGGGUCUGCCGAUCAACCAGCGUUCUCGCUGGUGCACUCGGCAGGCUCUAGGCCAGCAUCGGUUCGCGCCGGGGGACAAAGGUUUCGGGAACGUAGCUCCUUCGGGAGUGUUAUAGCCCGUUGCGUAAUACCCUGGGGCGGACUGAGGAACGCGCUUCGGCACGGAUGCUGGCGUAAUGGUCACCAACGACC
This 1127-nucleotide ribosomal RNA is filed under the name uncultured fungus. RNAcentral describes it as "eukaryotic LSU rRNA". The stretch from base 503 to 1127 matches the Rfam family "Eukaryotic large subunit ribosomal RNA", at positions 1 to 649 of the family's 3401-position model. The record is from RNAcentral. Lineage: Eukaryota; Fungi.